UGGGGAAUCUUGGACAAUGGGGGCAACCCUGAUCCAGCCAUGCCGCGUGAGUGAUGAAGGCCUUAGGGUCGUAAAGCUCUUUCGCCUGUGAAGAUAAUGACGGUAGCAGGUAAAGAAACCCCGGCUAACUCCGUGCCAGCAGCCGCGGUAAUACGGAGGGGGUUAGCGUUGUUCGGAAUUACUGGGCGUAAAGCGCACGUAGGCGGACCAGAAAGUUGGGGGUGAAAUCCCGGGGGCUCAACCCCGGAACUGCCUCCAAAACUAUUGGUCUAGAGUUCGAGAGAGGUGAGUGGAAUUCCAAGUGUAGAGGUGAAAUUCGUAGAUAUUUGGAGGAACACCAGUGGCGAAGGCGGCUCACUGGCUCGAUACUGACGCUGAGGUGCGAAAGUGUGGGGAGCAAACAGGAUUAGAUACCCUGGGUAGUCCACACCGUAAAACGAUGAAUGCCAGUCGUCGGGUAGCAUGCUAUUCGGUGACACACCUACGGAUUAAGCAUU
This 497-nucleotide ribosomal RNA is filed under the name uncultured bacterium. RNAcentral's name for it is "bacterial SSU rRNA". It matches the Rfam family "Bacterial small subunit ribosomal RNA", at positions 355 to 868 of the family's 1533-position model. The record is from RNAcentral.